UUAAAAGAAUAUAGACCUUGUAUAAAUUCAAGAAUAUGGCUUGAAAGUUUCUACCAGCUACCUUUAAAUAGCUUGUCUACAAGGAUUGAAAAAU
Molecule: non-coding RNA, 94 nt
Filed under: Kurthia senegalensis
Lineage: Bacteria; Bacillati; Bacillota; Bacilli; Caryophanales; Caryophanaceae
Description: Purine riboswitch
Rfam family: Purine riboswitch aptamer
About the family: Riboswitches are metabolite binding domains within certain messenger RNAs that serve as precision sensors for their corresponding targets. Allosteric rearrangement of mRNA structure is mediated by ligand binding, and this results in modulation of gene expression.
Source: RNAcentral